UACGGGGGAUGCAAGCGUUAUCCGGAAUUAUUGGGCGUAAAGCGUCCGCAGGUGGCUAAUCAAGUCUGUUGUCAAAGCGCGGAGCUUAACUCCGUACAGGCGAUGGAAACUGGUUGGCUAGAGUUAGGUAGGGGUAAGAGGAAUUCCCAGUGUAGCGGUGAAAUGCGUAGAUAUUGGGAAGAACACCGGCGGCGAAAGCGUCUUACUGGGCCUAAACUGACACUGAGGGACGAAAGCUAGGGGAGCGAAAGGG
RNAcentral lists this ribosomal RNA (253 nucleotides) under uncultured bacterium. Its description in RNAcentral is "partial 16S ribosomal RNA". It matches the Rfam family "Bacterial small subunit ribosomal RNA", at positions 524 to 776 of the family's 1533-position model. The record is from RNAcentral.